CUGUCCGUGUGUGUGGCUCAGCCUGGGCUCCGCGGCCUCCCCUUGCACCGGACGUGGACCCAGGCUGCCGUUGGGCAAGAUAGAGGACUGAGCCAAGGCACAAACGGCUGGCCAGAAAAGGCUGGCCAGCCUCUGGUCCGGUACCAGGCAAGUGAUUGGAGUCCCUUUCCAGUUUGGAAACAUCUGGGCAGGCCCAGCUGGUAAGGUUACUUUUCUACUUUGAACAAGCAAACAAGCCAACAGAAGAGAAGUUUCACAAGCAACUCCCAGCACAUCCGCUCACCUAGUGUUGUCUGUGACCUCACUCUCGGUGCCCCACCUCUUAUUACAGAUUGAACAGGGUCCAGGGGGAAGGACCAAGCCUGUCCCAUCGGCCAUCCUAUGUGUCAUGUCCUGGGACCCAGUGGAUGCUCAGCACCUGAAGAAGAUUGUCUUAGACACAUGGAAGCUGAGGACGCCUACUGUCCCCUCGGAACCCAGGUGGGGCUGGGAGUCUGCUGUUUGUAUAGCCGGUGGGCUCGUGUUGCUUUGGGCAUCCCUGUGUCUGAAUUCCUGCAGUACACUCGGUGGUUUUACCUGAACCACCAGCUUCUGCAUCUCUGAAGACAGAUGAUGAGGACCCUUCACGUAAGCCGUUCGCACAGCCCUGUGCAGGCCUUUGUGCUGCACGGUCUGCCCUUCGAGAUAACUGAGUGCAUUCCAUGGUGCAUCCUCGCCUAGAAUUGAGUGGAAGCAAGUCCAUCUCAGAAGGGACAUAACUGAAGAGGGAUGGCUUUCCAGACUCUGAUGGGCAGAGAGAGCUGCAGCCUGGCCCUGUGUAAAACAUGAAGCGUGGACGGCCUGGUGAGCACAGCUCUGCCCUCAAGACCUGUUUCAACUCCUCUCUUCCCGGAAAACACCAUCUCUGAGCCCGCCCUUGGUGACCUCAGAGAGACCACCCUAGUGACCCAGGCUAGUGACCGGGAACAUGUACCUUCCUGCAGCCAACCCCAGACGUCCACUGAUGCAUCAUAUACUGGCAAAGAUGUGAGUUCCUGUGCAUUGGUCUAACAGCAGAGACUCUGCCACAGGCCCAAGAGGUGGUGUGUGGGACAUGCAGGGGUGCAGGAGUGUAGGCAGUGCAAAAGUGUAACUGGUGACAGGGGUGCAGGGGCUGUGGAGGGCGCAGGCAGUUCAGGGGAUGCGGGGGUGCAGGGGUGCAGAAGUGCAGGCAGUGCAGAAGUGCAGAUAGUGGCAGGGGUGCAGAGGUGCGGGGAGUGUAGGGAUGCAGGGAGGUGCUCAGGCACGUGGCCAGGAUUAGAAGGCAAGUGCACAUCCUCGCAGUCAGCCUGACCCCGGGAGGCUAGUCCAAUCGUUUGGGGCGGCGGAGGCGGCGGUGCGUGGGAGGCUGCCCGGGCAAGCCGGUCGAUUUCUUCUCUUCCCUG
Long non-coding RNA from Camelus dromedarius (Arabian camel), 1424 nucleotides. RefSeq lists it as uncharacterized. The record is from RefSeq and is a predicted model, not a curated record. The transcript has 8 exons. Lineage: Eukaryota; Metazoa; Chordata; Mammalia; Artiodactyla; Camelidae.